This 877-nucleotide ribosomal RNA is filed under the name Priestia megaterium. RNAcentral describes it as "bacterial SSU rRNA". It matches the Rfam family "Bacterial small subunit ribosomal RNA", at positions 51 to 902 of the family's 1533-position model. Lineage: Bacteria; Bacillati; Bacillota; Bacilli; Caryophanales; Bacillaceae. The record is from RNAcentral.
AUACNUGCAAGUCGAGCGAANNGAUUAGGAAGCUUGCUUCUAUGACGUUAGCGGCGGACGGGUGAGUAACACGUGGGCAACCUGCCUGUAAGACUGGGAUAACUUCGGGAAACCGAAGCUAAUACCGGAUAGGAUCUUCUCCUUCAUGGGAGAUGAUUGAAAGAUGGUUUCGGCUAUCACUUACAGAUGGGCCCGCGGUGCAUUAGCUAGUUGGUGAGGUAACGGCUCACCAAGGCAACGAUGCAUAGCCGACCUGAGAGGGUGAUCGGCCACACUGGGACUGAGACACGGCCCAGACUCCUACGGGAGGCAGCAGUAGGGAAUCUUCCGCAAUGGACGAAAGUCUGACGGAGCAACGCCGCGUGAGUGAUGAAGGCUUUCGGGUCGUAAAACUCUGUUGUUAGGGAAGAACAAGUACAAGAGUAACUGCUUGUACCUUGACGGUACCUAACCAGAAAGCCACGGCUAACUACGUGCCAGCAGCCGCGGUAAUACGUAGGUGGCAAGCGUUAUCCGGAAUUAUUGGGCGUAAAGCGCGCGCAGGCGGUUUCUUAAGUCUGAUGUGAAAGCCCACGGCUCAACCGUGGAGGGUCAUUGGAAACUGGGGAACUUGAGUGCAGAAGAGAAAAGCGGAAUUCCACGUGUAGCGGUGAAAUGCGUAGAGAUGUGGAGGAACACCAGUGGCGAAGGCGGCUUUUUGGUCUGUAACUGACGCUGAGGCGCGAAAGCGUGGGGAGCAAACAGGAUUAGAUACACCUGGGUAGUCCACNNCCNUAAACGAUGANUGCUAAGUGUUAGAGAGGNUCCGCCNCUUUANUGCUGCGGCUAACGCAUUAAGCACUCCNCCUGGCGANNACGGUCNCGAGGACUGANACUC